GGUCCUAGACUUGUUGCUAUUUUUAAUUAAAAUUACACAUGUAAGUAUCCGCACACCAGUGAAACAGCCCAAAAUAGUAUAAACGGAGCAGGUAUCAGGCACGAACAUCAGCCCAAAACACUUUGCCACGCCACACCCACAAGGGAACUCAGCAGUGAUAAACAUUAAGCAAUAAACGACCCUACUCAACCCAAAGCUUGACUUAGUUACAAUUAUUAUAAGGGUCGGCAAAUCUCGUGCCAGCCGCCGCGGUUAUACGAGAGACCCAAAUAAGCAACCAAACGGCGUAAAUUGUGGCUAGAAUCACUUAAACCAAACCGUAAGACAAUAAACCACCACCCAUUAGUAAAAUAUGGGGUAAAAGAAACACCCUUACCUCCGGUCAUUUGAACCCACGAAAACUAAGAAACAAACUAGGAUUAGAUACCCUACUAUGCUUAGUUAUUAAUAAGACGCACUUGUCCGCCAGAGAAUUACAAGCGAAAAGCUUAAAACUCAAAAGACUUGGCGGUGUCCCACACUCAACUUAGAGGAGCCUGUCCUAUAAUCGAUAACCCACGAUAAACCCAACCACCUUUUGCCACCACAGCCUAUAUACCGCCGUCACCAAUCUACCUCUACAAGAGAAAAACAGUAGGUAAAACAGUAUGUCACUAAAACGUCAGGUCAAGGUGUAGCUUAUAAAGUGGAAGAGAUGGGCUACAUUCUUUAAUACAUAAAGCAUACAAAAAGAAGCAUGAAAUAGGCCUCCCAAAGGAGGAUUUAACAGUAAAACUAGCAAGAAAACUAAUUUUAAACCCGCCCUGGGACGCGCACACACCGCCCGUCACCCUCCU
This 836-nucleotide ribosomal RNA is filed under the name Uranoscodon superciliosus. RNAcentral describes it as "partial 12S small subunit ribosomal RNA". It matches the Rfam family "Bacterial small subunit ribosomal RNA". The record is from RNAcentral. Lineage: Eukaryota; Metazoa; Chordata; Lepidosauria; Squamata; Tropiduridae.